CACUCUUUACAGAGAUGGUAUCUUUUAACAAUCCCGGGACACGGUUCCUAAACGAAAACGACGACGCUACAAAGACUUUGUGGAGCAUUUCUGCCACAUGCUAUCCUUCAACCGACCAAUAUAUAAAUGUUCUUGGAGUUGAAGUACAGAUUGGUGUAAUAACGCAUACAGUAGGAUGUGAGACAUGUAAAAUUUCUAUUAACCCAGACAGUGGUCUUUUCUACAUGUCAGGGAACACAGUGUACAAGAGAGCAUGCGCGGCAGUAAGCUGUGGAAGUUGUCCGUCAUGUUCGUCAUGUGCUGCUAGCACUGGGUGAAUGUCUGGUCCUGCUUAUUACAAUAUUGAUGUUCGGUGUUACACGACCUCUUAUGACAACGAUGACUCUGGAACAUCUACUCUUACCGUUAGUGUGUCAGAAGAAACACCGACAUUAGCAAUUAGCCUUCCAGGUGCUGUAAAUGCAGACAAUUCAAUGAGUGUUAGAACUGUUUUAGCUACUGCAUCUAAAUCAAGUGGUCCACCAAGUGUAGAGUUCACAAAAUCAACUGCAGUAGAUGAUUCAUACUUGCUAGGGACAACAAAUAUGUUUGAUCUAA
Ruditapes philippinarum (Manila clam) is the source of this 597-nucleotide long non-coding RNA. RefSeq lists it as uncharacterized. Lineage: Eukaryota; Metazoa; Mollusca; Bivalvia; Venerida; Veneridae. The record is from RefSeq and is a predicted model, not a curated record. The transcript has 3 exons.